GUAUUGGCCUACCGGGGAUAUGACGGGUAACGGGGAAUUAGGGUUCGAUUCCGGAGAGGGAGCCUGAGAAACGGCUACCACAUCUAAGGAAGGCAGCAGGCGCGCAAAUUACCCAAUCCUAAUACAGGGAGGUAGUGACAAGAAAUAACAAUACGAAGCCAAACCGUUUUGUAAUUGCAAUGAGUUGAGAUUAAAUCUCUCAACGAGUAACAAUUGGAGGGCAAGUCUGGUGCCAGCAGCCGCGGUAAUUCCAGCUCCAAUAGCAUAUAUUAAAGUUGUUGCAGUUAAAAAGCUCGUAGUUAAUUUUCUGU
RNAcentral lists this ribosomal RNA (311 nucleotides) under Cryptosporidium sp. Its description in RNAcentral is "SSU rRNA". It matches the Rfam family "Eukaryotic small subunit ribosomal RNA", at positions 333 to 645 of the family's 1831-position model. The record is from RNAcentral. Lineage: Eukaryota; Apicomplexa; Conoidasida; Eucoccidiorida; Cryptosporidiidae.